RNAcentral lists this ribosomal RNA (440 nucleotides) under uncultured bacterium. Its description in RNAcentral is "partial 16S ribosomal RNA". It matches the Rfam family "Bacterial small subunit ribosomal RNA", at positions 338 to 795 of the family's 1533-position model. The record is from RNAcentral.
CCUACGGGGGGCAGCAGUGGGGAAUAUUGCACAAUGGGGGAAACCCUGAUGCAGCGACGCCGCGUGAGUGAAGAAGUAUCUCGGUACGUAAAGCUCUAUCAGCAGGGAAGAAAAUGACGGUACCUGACUAAGAAGCCCCGGCUAACUACGUGCCAGUAGCCGCGGUAAUACGUAGGGGGCAAGCGUUAUCCGGAUUUACUGGGUGUAAAGGGAGCGUAGUCGGCAGAAAAAGUCUGGUGUGAAAUCCCGGGGCUUAACCCCGGAACUGCUUUGGAAACUGUGCGGCUGGAGUGCAGGAGGGGUAAGCGGAAGUCCUAGUGUAGCGGUGAAAUGCGUAGAUAUUAGGAGGAACACCGGUGGCGAAGGCGGCUUACUGGACUGUAACUGACGUUGAGGCUCGAAAGCGUGGGGAGCAAACAGGAUUAGAUACCCUAGUAGAC